RNAcentral lists this ribosomal RNA (253 nucleotides) under uncultured bacterium. Its description in RNAcentral is "partial 16S ribosomal RNA". It matches the Rfam family "Bacterial small subunit ribosomal RNA", at positions 524 to 776 of the family's 1533-position model. The record is from RNAcentral.
UACGUAGGGUGCUAGCGUUGUCCGGAUUUAUUGGGCGUAAAGGGCGCGUAGGCGGGCGGCCAAGUCAGGGGUGAAAGCCCCCAGCUCAACUGGGGAAGUGCCUUUGAUACUGGUUGUCUCGAGGGAGGUAGGGGCGUGCGGAACUUCCGGUGGAGCGGUGAAAUGCGUAGAUAUCGGAAGGAACGCCGGUGGCGAAAGCGGCGCGCUGGACCUCUUCUGACGCUGAGGCGCGAAAGCUAGGGGAGCAAACGGG